UACGUAGGGUGCGAGCGUUAAUCGGAAUUACUGGGCGUAAAGCGUGCGCAGGCGGUUCGUUGUGUCGGUGGUGAAAGCCCCGGGCUUAACCUGGGAAUGGCAGUGGAAACUGGCGGGCUUGAGUGUGGCAGAGGGGGGUGGAAUUCCGCGUGUAGCAGUGAAAUGCGUAGAGAUGCGGAGGAACACCGAUGGCGAAGGCAGCCCCCUGGGCUGACACUGACGCUGAGGCACGAAAGCGUGGGGAGCAAACAGG
This 253-nucleotide ribosomal RNA is filed under the name uncultured bacterium. Its description in RNAcentral is "partial 16S ribosomal RNA". It matches the Rfam family "Bacterial small subunit ribosomal RNA", at positions 524 to 776 of the family's 1533-position model. The record is from RNAcentral.